AACGAACGCUGGCGGCAGGCUUAACACAUGCAAGUCGAGCGCCCCGCAAGGGGAGCGGCAGACGGGUGAGUAACGCGUGGGAAUCUACCCUUUUCUACGGCAUAACGCAGGGAAACUUGUGCUAAUACCGUAUACGCCCUUCGGGGGAAAGAUUUAACGGGAAAGGAUGAGCCAGCGUUGGAUUAGCUAGUUGGUGGGGUAAAGGCCUACCAAGGCGACGAUCCAUAGCUGGUCUGAGAGGAUGAUCAGCCACAUUGGGACUGAGACACGGCCCAAACUCCUACGGGAGGCAGCAGUGGGGAAUAUUGGACAAUGGGCGCAAGCCUGAUCCAGCCAUGCCGCGUGAGUGAUGAAGGCCCUAGGGUUGUAAAGCUCUUUCACCGGUGAAGAUAAUGACGGUAACCGGAGAAGAAGCCCCGGCUAACUUCGUGCCAGCAGCCGCCGUAA
RNAcentral lists this ribosomal RNA (447 nucleotides) under uncultured bacterium. RNAcentral's name for it is "partial 16S ribosomal RNA". It matches the Rfam family "Bacterial small subunit ribosomal RNA", at positions 29 to 523 of the family's 1533-position model. The record is from RNAcentral.